AGUGAGAGAGCGCUCUCAGGCUCAGCUCCUCCCAUUAAUUAUUUGUAAGUUAAAUAUAGUAGAAUGUUGAGUUGAGGUUUUGAUGGGAUAAGGAAGGAAAUUCAUCAGUCCAAACAAGGUGGUAUAUUUGGGCUGAUCUUUGCUGCUGAAUCAUUGGUUCAUCAACAUAUUAUACACAUACAAGGAUAUAUACAUAUGUUGUUGCAUCAAUGAUGCAGGAGCUGAGUUCAGUUUUGGCUACCUUUUCUUGGACUGAAGGGUUUCCUUCUCAACCCCAACCAUGCAUCAUGCUUGUUAUCUCAGUUACUAUUGCUGCUGCCACAUAUAAGGAUCAUUGACCGACAAAUACAAAUUAACGAGUUCGCCUCUAAUACAGACACUUUUUGAUCGCUAUAGAUCAAAGAAAUCCUCUCUAAAAACACACGUCAAAAUGGACACUUCGCCCAUAUUAGGCGAACUAUCAUUAAAAUUUUUGUGAUGUAUGUUGUGUUUUGGAGUGAAUUAACAAAAGUUGACUUUGUUUAUUAGUCUGUAUUUUUAGGACAAUCCCUUUCAUCGGUAGCGUCUCAAAAGUGUUUGUUUUGAGAUCAGACUCCAAAUAACACUUACUUGUAUUUUUAAAAACUCAGAUCAUCUCUAAUCUACCUCUAUUUUACUCUUUGUUAUAUAUAGUUGAAAA
This is a long non-coding RNA of Solanum lycopersicum (tomato), 679 nucleotides long. RefSeq lists it as uncharacterized. The record is from RefSeq and is a predicted model, not a curated record. Lineage: Eukaryota; Viridiplantae; Streptophyta; Magnoliopsida; Solanales; Solanaceae.